RNAcentral lists this ribosomal RNA (494 nucleotides) under uncultured bacterium. RNAcentral's name for it is "partial 16S ribosomal RNA". It matches the Rfam family "Bacterial small subunit ribosomal RNA", at positions 28 to 507 of the family's 1533-position model. The record is from RNAcentral.
GAUGAACGCUGGCGGCGUGCCUAAUACAUGCAAGUCGAACGCUGAGGGAGGAGCUUGCUUCUCUGGAUGAUUUGCGAACGGGUGAGUGACGCGUAUGGAACCUGCCUGUAAGCGGCGGGUAACUAUUGGAGAAGCUAGCGAAUACCGCAUAAUAUAAAAUGUUGCAUGACAUUUACUUAAAAGAUACGAUUUCAUCACUACCAGUAGAUCCUGCGGUGUAUUAGCUAGUUGGUGGGGUAACGGCUUACCAAGGCGACGAUACAUAGCCGACCUGAGAGGGUGAUCGGCCACACUGGGACUGAGACACGGCCCAGACUCCUACGGGAGGCAGCAGUAGGGAAUCUUCGGCAAUGGACGGAAGCCUGACGGAGCAACGCCGCGUGAGUGAAGAAGGUCUUCGGAUCGUAAAACUCUGUUAUAAGGGAAGAACGAGUGUGUGAGUGAAUAGUCACGUCUGGAAGGUACCUAAACAAAAAGCGACGGCUAACUUCGGG